CGGAUGUAGCCAAGUGGAUCAAGGCA
This 26-nucleotide transfer RNA is filed under the name Rhodamnia argentea. RNAcentral's name for it is "partial tRNA-His". The record is from RNAcentral. RNAcentral also lists the same sequence under 6 other names. Lineage: Eukaryota; Viridiplantae; Streptophyta; Magnoliopsida; Myrtales; Myrtaceae.